CGCAUAUUGCGGCCUCGGGCACUCCCGAGGCCACGCCCGUCUCAGGGUCGGUU
Molecule: ribosomal RNA, 53 nt
Filed under: Dendrobaena veneta
Lineage: Eukaryota; Metazoa; Annelida; Clitellata; Crassiclitellata; Lumbricidae
Also listed under: 14 other names
Description: partial 5.8S ribosomal RNA
Source: RNAcentral